UAAAAUAAUAAUCUUUUAUUUCACAGAAGUACAAACGUAUAAAGUAAGACAAAGAGCUUAUAUUGUCGUUCACCAAAGCAGAGAUACACUACAUCUAUAAUGGACGUGUUAAUGUCUAUAGCUCUGGUCCAGGGCGACUUUGAGAACAUUACCAAACCACAACCUGGACCAGAGCUAUCUUUCUCUAUAUAAAACCAACAGCGCUAGCCCCUCCCUCCCACGCUGCCCAGCUGUGCUUGACAUGGACUGAAAUAGGUGCCGGUACUGUUUAUAUUCAGGUGCAGGAGCUUCACAAUAAAUUUCAGCUAAUAUUCGAUAAGAGGGACAUUUGAGGUGCUGGUACUCAGCUCCAGUGAGCUCCUGCCCAAGUCAGGCACGGCUGGUCAGCCAACAGAGCUCCUGCCCAAGUCAGGCACGGCUGGUCAGCCAACAGAGCUCCUGCCCAAGUCAGGCACGGCUGGUCAGCAAACAGAGCUCCUGCCCAAGUCAGGCACGGCUGGUCAGCCAACAGUUAUGCACAUCAAGAAAUAAAGAAAAUAUGAUACACUGAUAAAUUGUCAACAGAAAAGAUACAGACAUACAUAUAUAGCCUGGUCCAAGACAUAUACACUACCGGUCAAAAGUUUUAGAGCACCUACUCAUUCAAGGGUUUUUCUUUUCAUUUUACUAUCUUCUACAUUGUAGAAUAAUAGUGAAGACAUCAAAACUGAAAUACCACUCCAAUGAACUUAUCCUCUGCAGCAGAGGUAACUCUGGGUCUUCCUUUCAUGUGGAGGUCCUCAUGAGAGCCAGUUUCAUCAAGUUCUUGAAAUGUUUCGUAUUGACUGACUUUCAUGUUUUAAAAUAAUGAUGGACUGUCAUUUCUCUUAUUUGAGCUGUUCCUGCCAUCAUAUAGACUUGGUCUUUUACCAGAUAGGGCUAUCUUCUGUAUACCUCCCCUACCUUGUCACAACACAACUGAUUGGCUCAAACGCAUUAAAAAGGAAAGAAAUUUCACAAAUUCACUUUUAACAGCGCACGCCUGUUAAUUGAAAUGCAUUCCAGGUGACUACCUCAUGAAGCUGGUUGAGAGAAUGCCAAGAGUGCAAAACUGUCAUCAAGGCAAAGGGUGGCUACUUUGAAGAAUCUCAAAUAUAUUUUCAUUUGUUUAACACUUUUCGUUACUACAUGAUUCCAUGUGUGUUAUUUCAUAGUUUUGAUGUCUUCACUAUUAUUUUACAAUGUAGAAAAUAGUCAAAAUAAAGAAAAAAGCUUGAAUGAGUAGGUGUGUCCAAAUGUUUGACUGGUACUUUAUGUACAUUUUUAUUUUAUACAUUUUAGAAUAAGGGUGUAACGUAACAAAAUUUGGAAAAAGUCGAGGGGUCUGAAUAUUUUCCGAAGGCACUGUAUAUAGCCUGGUCCCUGUGCUUUUGCCAACUCCAAUGUCAUUUUCAAGCUUAAAGACAAUUCCAUAAGAAGUUGUCAAGAGCCUGGCACACAGGCCAGGGUAUCUCAAGAGCCUGGCACACAGGCCAGGGUAUCUCAAGAGCCUGGCACACAGGCCAGGGUAUCUCAAGAGCCUGGCACACAGGCCAGGGUAUCUCAAGAGCCUGGCACACAGGCCGGGGUAUCUCAAGAGCCUGGCACACAGGCCAGGGUAUCUCAAGAGCCUGGCACACAGGCCAGGGUAUCUCAAGAGCCUGGCACACAGGCCGGGGUAUCUCAAGAGCCUGGCACACAGGCCAGGGUAUCUCAAGAGCCUGGCACACAGGCCAGGGUAUAUCAAGAGCCUGGCACACAGGCCAGGGUAUCUCAAGAGGCUGGCACACAGGCCAGGGUAUAUCAAGAGCCAGACCAGAGUAUAUCAAGAGCCAGACCAGGGUAUGUAUAUUAUUAUAUUGACCUGACAUGGAGUUUGGUGGAACAUUGAUACUAGAAAGACAAUAGAACGAUGCAGAAUUCAAUUGCAUUUUCUUUACCAUUCAAUUCUUACUUUGUAAUUCUGCAUUGUUGGUAAAGGGCUCGUCAGUAAGCAUUUCACAGUAAAGUCUACAUCUGUUCUAUAUGGCACAUGUGACAAAUACAAUUUGAUUUGAUACCAUUUUUCACAAUUAUAUCCCAUUUUCCCAAUAAAUGUUUUGUCUUUACCAAUAAUAAAAGGGCCUCAAACAAACAAGCAUGUUGUGUUGUGACAGUGUACUGUGAUAGGAUGUCCUAUUCUCACGAGUAAGACAAUUGCUAUUCCAUAUAACCCAGUGCUUGACAUGGAUUGAAGUAGGUGUCGGUACUCAUGUUGGUUUCCAGUACUGCUUAUAUUUAGCUGCAGGAGCUCCACAAUACUUUUGAGAUAAUAUAGGAACAAGAGCUCAAGCAGUUGAACAUUUAAGGUGCCUGCACUUGGCUCCUGUGAGGUCCUGCAUGUACCUUAGAGCAAGGGGGAGGGGGGGGGCAAAGUAUGGCCCGUGAGCAGAUCAAGAGACAUAAUUAUUUUUUAUUUUUUUACCCCUUUUUUCUCCCCAAUUUCAUGAUAUCUGAAUUGGUAGUAACAGUCUUGUCCCAUCGCUGCAACUCCCCUAAGGACUCGGGAGAGGCGAAGGUCGAAACACGACCCUGCCAAGCAGCACUGUUUCUUGACACAAUGCCCGCUUAUCCCCGGAAACCAGCUGCUUUAAUGUGUCGGAGGAAACACCGUACACCUGGCGACCGUGUCUGCGUGCAUGCGCCUGGUCUGCCACAGGAGGCACUAGAGCGAUGGGACAAGGAAAUCUUGGCCUGCCAAACCCUCUCCUAACCCAAACAACAAUGGGCCAAUUAUGUGCUGCCUCACGGGUCUUUCAGUCACGGCCAGCUAUGACACAGCCUGGGAUCGAACCCGGGUCUGUAAUGACACUUCUAGCUCUGCGAUGCAGUAGCUUAGACCACUGCGCCACACGGGAGGCUUCUUUGAUUGAUUAUAACAAACAAUUAGUCCCACAAAAAAUGCAUCCCUCCGUUGAAUUUCAAAAUCCCGAUGUCGCCAUCGGGCCAAAACUGAAAAUCAAGGCUAAGGUCUCCUUCCUUUUCGAGAUGAGGCAGAGAUGAUACCAGCUCCAGAAGAAUCUGUCAGCCUGUUUCUGGUAAGACGUUAAGAGCAUUGUGAUGAAACAGACUGGAAGCUUCUCUUCAAACAAACAAUCGACUUCUUACCUUUAUAGAUAAUGACAUUAUCCAACCAGACUGAAUACCACCCCACCACAAGACCAUGUGGACAACACCAGUAGACCACCCCACCACAAGACCAUGUGGACAACACCAGUAGACUACCCCACCACAAGACCAUCUGAACAACACCAGUAGACCACCCCACCACAAGACCAUGUGGACAACACCAGUAGACUACCCCACCACAAGACCAUGUGGACAACACCAGUAGACCACCCCACCAUAAGACCAUGUGGACAACACCAGUAGACUACCCCACCACAAGACCAUGUGGACAACACCAGUAGACUACCCCACCACAAGACCAUCUGAACAACACCAGUAGACCACCCCACCACAAGACCAUGUGGACAACACCAGUAGACCACCCCACCACAAGACCAUGUGGACAACACCAGUAGACUACCCCACCACAAGACCAUGUGGACAACACCAGUAGACUACCC
Molecule: long non-coding RNA, 3626 nt
Organism: Oncorhynchus tshawytscha (Chinook salmon)
Lineage: Eukaryota; Metazoa; Chordata; Actinopteri; Salmoniformes; Salmonidae
Source: Ensembl